AUUGAACGCUGGCGGCAGGCCUAACACAUGCAAGUCGAACGAGUGGCGGACGGGUGAGUAAUGUCUGGGCAACUGCCUGAGGGAGGGGGAUAAGUACUGGAAACGGUAGCUAAUACCGCCUUCCAUCGGAUGUGCCCGGUUGGGAUUAGCUAGUAGGUGGGGUAAAGGCUCACCUAGGCGACGAUCCCUAGCUGGUCUGAGAGGAUGACCAGACACACUGGAACUGAGAAACGGUCCAGACUCCUACGGGAGGCAGCAGUGGGGAAUAUUGCACAAUGGGCGAAAGCCUGAUGCAGCCAUGCCGCGUGUAUGAAGAAGGCCUUCGGGUUGUAAAGUACUUUCAGUGGGGAGGCGUUACCAGCAGAAGAAGCACCGGCUAACUCCGUGCCAGCAGCCGCGGUAAUUC
RNAcentral lists this ribosomal RNA (406 nucleotides) under uncultured bacterium. RNAcentral's name for it is "partial 16S ribosomal RNA". It matches the Rfam family "Bacterial small subunit ribosomal RNA", at positions 30 to 526 of the family's 1533-position model. The record is from RNAcentral.